AGCGAACGCUGGCGGCAGGCCUAACACAUGCAAGUCGAGCGGCCGUAGCAAUACGGCAGCGGCAGACGGGAGAGUAACACGUGGGAACGUGCCCUUUGGUUCGGAAUAACGCAGGGAAACUUGCGCUAAUACCGGAUAAGCCCUUACGGGGAAAGAUUUAUCGCCAUUGGAGCGGCCCGCGUCUGAUUAGCUAGUUGGUGAGGUAACGGCUCACCAAGGCGACGACGCGUAGCCGGACUGAGAGGUUGGCCGGCCACAUUGGGACUGAGACACUGCCCAGACUCCUACGGGGGCGU
RNAcentral lists this ribosomal RNA (296 nucleotides) under uncultured bacterium. Its description in RNAcentral is "partial 16S ribosomal RNA". It matches the Rfam family "Bacterial small subunit ribosomal RNA", at positions 29 to 350 of the family's 1533-position model. The record is from RNAcentral.